AAAAUACACCAUCAAUUUGCAAUUAACAAAAACAACAAAAACACUGCACUGGGCAGGUUGUACAUUUGGCCCCUUAUCUUCACAAAAAUUUGACAAGGGUUUUAAAAGAGGAGAUAUAGCUGAUUUAGCACAAUUUUUAUAACAGUAGCACAUAGCAAGUUUAUAAAAUAAAAUACUAAAUUGCAAUGUGCAUGUAAAAAAUAAAUGUGAAAGUAAAAUAAUAGCAUGAACUUUGAAAGAAAUUG
Molecule: non-coding RNA, 245 nt
Organism: Pelobates cultripes (western spadefoot toad)
Lineage: Eukaryota; Metazoa; Chordata; Amphibia; Anura; Pelobatidae
Source: the annotation of a GenBank genome assembly